CCCUUAGAUGUCCGGGGCUGCACGCGCGCUACACUGAAGGAAUCAGCGUGCUAAAACCAUUGUCGAAAGGCAUUGGUAAACCCAUUAAAAUCCUACGUGAUUGGGAUCGGGAAUUGCAAUUAUUUCCCUUGAACGAGGAAUUCCCAGUAAGUGUGGGUCAUAAGCUCGCGUUGAUUACGUCCCUGCCCUUUGUACACACCGCCCGUCGCUGCCCGGGACUGUGCCGUUUCGAGAAAAGCGGGGACUGCUGCUGUCGGGGCUUUCGGGCCUUGGCUUCGGUGGAAACCGCUUUAAUCGCAGUGGCUUGAACCGGGCAAAAGUCGNAACA
RNAcentral lists this ribosomal RNA (328 nucleotides) under uncultured eukaryote. Its description in RNAcentral is "partial 18S ribosomal RNA". It matches the Rfam family "Eukaryotic small subunit ribosomal RNA", at positions 1470 to 1796 of the family's 1831-position model. The record is from RNAcentral.